UUUUUAAUAAAAUAAACAAGUAAAAGAAAAUAGAAGAAAAUAAAUGACUAAAAAUAAAGUUGGUCAAACAUGUCCACAUGGUAUUCUGUGCCAAGCCAAUCAAAACAAAUCCAAUCAUAACAAAUCCAAUCAUUGGGUGAUAGAGGACAAAAACAAGGUGAACCAACCACAACGCGCCACAUGGCCAUGCAAAAGCAAACAAAUUUCAAAAUCUCCUCAUAAAAUCGUGAAACACGAUUUUUAAGCUAGCUAC
Molecule: long non-coding RNA, 253 nt
Filed under: Lathyrus oleraceus (garden pea)
Lineage: Eukaryota; Viridiplantae; Streptophyta; Magnoliopsida; Fabales; Fabaceae
Description: Pisum sativum (pea) long non-coding RNA (PSAT_LNC002524)
Source: RNAcentral